ACUGAAUGUGUGAGUGAUCAUUAUUAUGUUGGAUUGGUAGAUGUUGUUUGAUGCCAUAAAAAGGCUCUGUACCUGAAUCAACUAUAGAGUGCCCAAAGAAAGAAGAAAUAAACACUUUUGAUAAUUUAGCACCAUUAAAAAAUCGAUGAACUAACCUUUUUUUAAAGACUCUUCUGGGAUAUGUAGGUCGGCGAUUCUACUGAGUUGGGGGUUCUCAAACAGUUUGACAUUUGGGUGAGUGUCAUUUGUCUUGAAAUUCGUUGCAUCUGGUACACAUCAUUUCUGUGCAACCAAUUGGACUCAUCAUCUUCAUAAAUAUUCUCUUUUUCGUCGAGGAUGUCUCUGUUGAAAUGCAUGAAAUUUGGUACUGCACCACCUGCACAUGUUAUGUUCUGCAGUUGUGUGACUGCCAAUUGUCCGGUAGCUGGCAUGAGUGACACAAUGUUACUGCCAUUGAGGACGGCAACAAUAUGCUUAUUUUGCUUGCGGGUUUGACGUUGUCGCUUUAAUAUUUCCUCUCUAUUUUGUGCAUACCACUCCAUUUCCAUCUGAUUCUUAAUCUCAUUACGGUCUGAAUAUAUGAAGAAUAGAUCAUUCUAUAAUAAUACAACUGGGCCGUAUAUCAUGAAGUUGAUCAUCAUUACCUUGUGAUACACCCAAUUGUGUGUGUACUCUGUUAUUUAGGCCAUUGAUCUUGGCAGUGGCAAUUUUUUUCCUGUUUGUAGGCCUAACGCCAUCUCUUAUUAAUCUCAUCCCUAUUUUGUGCAUAUUGCUCUCUAUCCAUCUGCCUUUUUAUUUCUUUAGGGUCUGCAAAUCAUGACACAAUUCAGCAGUUGAGCAACAAUCGAGUGAUUGGGUUAUGAUCAUUACCUGUUGGGAGUGGUAGGGGCCAUACAAAGUCCUUCAACCCUGUGAAUGUCAAGAGUGUUAUCAUACAACUAUCUUUGAAGGAAUAGUAUUACCGGAAUAC
This 970-nucleotide long non-coding RNA is filed under the name Triticum aestivum (bread wheat). Its description in RNAcentral is "long non-coding RNA (TAES_LNC021443)". Lineage: Eukaryota; Viridiplantae; Streptophyta; Magnoliopsida; Poales; Poaceae. The record is from RNAcentral.